CUGGGGACUGAACCCAGGGCCUUGCAGGCAAGCACUCUACCACUGAGCUAAAUCCCCAACCCCGUAACAAUGGUUUUGAUUCUUAGAGCCACACGUCACCAGUUGUGACAGACUUGUCCCAUGGGGCUGCAAGUUUGUCCUUGCUUCCCAAGCAGUCUCUUGCACUUUCAUAUCCGGUAAGAAGCGGCCUUUUCCCUAAUCAUUUCUUUUCUUCUCCCUACCCUAGAGGACACCCCACUGAUACAAUUUAAGCCCCAGUGGGAGACUUCAAGACCAGGGGCUAGGAACCUUUCCUAACAGUGGAAUGUUUUGACACGUGGUCUCACUCUGUCUUACAGAUGGUGGUAACUCACCACCUGUCUGCUCAGAUUAAAGAUCAUGUCUUGCUUUUAUUGAGGUUUUACUUGUUUUUCUUUUGGUCUUUUGGAAGCAGAGCCUCUGUUUGCAAACUUGUAGACCUCCUGCCUCAGUCUCCUGAG
Molecule: long non-coding RNA, 479 nt
Filed under: Rattus norvegicus (Norway rat)
Lineage: Eukaryota; Metazoa; Chordata; Mammalia; Rodentia; Muridae
Description: long non-coding RNA NONRATT010078
Source: RNAcentral